RNAcentral lists this unclassified non-coding RNA (925 nucleotides) under Hevea brasiliensis (rubber tree). Lineage: Eukaryota; Viridiplantae; Streptophyta; Magnoliopsida; Malpighiales; Euphorbiaceae. The record is from RNAcentral.
GAGUGGUCAAAGAUUUCUCAUAUCGCAAACCUACACAUAAGUAAGUUUAGCCAUCAUCUGUUUUCCUUUCUCCUCUAACUAAUUCAAACAAAAACGUGAAAUUUCUUUUACUCUAAUCAUCCAUUCCUUCUCUGUUUUCUUUUCCAGGUUAUUUAUGAGUAGAUGGGGUUUGCAAUCUAAACAGGGUCGCUUGCUUUCGAUUUACCAAAGGUUAAAAGGAAAGUUCAGGUGAGAUAUACUAUCUGUUUUCAUUUUUCUGUAACUUUAUCGUAAUUACUAUCUCCUGGUAAUUAGUUUGUCCAUUUGUUUUCUUUUCCAGAUUGAUUACUUUCUUUCUUGUUAAUGCUACUCGCCCAAAAUUGAGUUAAAUAGAGUUAAAUAGUCAGCGCUUGGAAAUUUGUAUCCAAUGUCACAAAACCACUCACUCAAGGUCAAGUUUGGAAAAUUGUAUCUAACAUGAGGGUUAAAACCGAGGAAGUAGCUCUUAGUGUGGCUAUAUCUGGUAAAAUUUCAAGUUGAAGCAGUAAUAGCAAAUACAUUCGUGAUAACUUGAACAAUUCAAGCUUUGAGCUGAAGACUGACAGAAGGACCAACUAAACUUGCUUUGCAGUUGGAGCCAUUAGAAGAUGGAACAUGACUUGUUGAUAGUGCACAAUUGGCAUUUUCUGUUGCAGUUCUUUACAGGCCUUGAAGGGAAUUUUCAUUAUCAAUUUCUUUCUUCACUUGUACUGGCCUAUGCUUUGAACUUAGUUUUGGCACCUUUUCAGGAUAGUCUUGAUUCUCAAUUACUUAUCUGUAUGUUAACAAACUCCUACUUCUUACAUCCGAACCUGGAAAUUUAUACAUUUAAACCUUCACCUCUUGCAAAUGUUAGCAUAUAUUAUACUGAGCAGAUUGAAAUGAAUUAUCUCAUCUCCUCUGUUUG